CUUCCUUCCCCCCCGACUGCUCCCGGGGGGAGGGGGAGCCCCGUGACGUCAUCGCCGACGUCACCGGGGGCUGCGACGCACCGGUGGUGGCCACCCGUAAUGACGUCAUCACGGAGGGGCCGGACCAAGCCGGUGUCACCCGAGACCUUGGGGACACCCCGGGUGACGUCACCGAAGCCCCCGGAGAUGCCACCACCACGAUGGGACACGUCACUGUCCCUCAAGGAGGUGACAAAGUCUUGGUGGCCACCCGUGGGGACGUCAUCAUGGAGGGGACAGAGGGACCUGGUGUCACCCAAGACCUUGGGGACAUCUCCAAGGACGUCACCGAAGCCCCCGGAGAUGCCACCACCACGGGGGGACACGUCACUGUCCCUCAAGGAGGUGACAAAGUCUUGGUGGCCACCCGUGGGGACGUCAUCAUGGAGGAGACGGACCAGCCUGGUGUCACCCAAGGCCUUGGGGACAUCUCCAAGGACGUCACCGAAGCCCCCGGAGAUGCCACCACCGUGGUGGCACCCAUCACCGUGCCCCAUGUAGGGGAGAAGGUCUUGGUGGCCACCCAUGGGGACGUCCUCAUGGAGGGGACGGGCCAACCCGGUGUCACCCAAGACCCUGGGGACACCUUGGCCCAUGUCACUGAGGUCUCCUUAGAUGCCACCACCAAGAUGGGACCUGUCACUGAGCUCCAAGGAGGUGACAAGGUCCUGGUAGCCACCCGUGGGGACGUCAUCGUGGAGGGGACAGAGGAACCCGGUGUCACCAACUGCUCCAGGGACGUCACCGAAGCCCCCGGAGAUGCCACCACCACAGCGGGACCCGUCACCACGGCCCAGGGAUGUGACAACUUCAUGGUGGCCACCCGUGGGGAUGUCCUCAUGGAGGGGACAGAGGGACCUGGUGUCACUGAAAACCUUGGGGACAUCUCCAACCAUGUCACUGAAGCCCCCGGAGAUGCCACCACCACGAUGGGACCUGUCACUGUGCCCCAAGGAGGUGACAAAAUCCUGGUGGCCACCCGUGGAGACGUCUUCAUGGAGGUGACAGCCCAGCCCGGUGUCACCGAAGCCCUUGGGGACACCUCAGGUGAUGUCACCGUGGUCUCCAGAGAUGCCACCACUGUGGUGGGCCCCGUCCCCACGUCCCAGGGAGGGGACGGGGCCGUGGUGGCUGCCCACGGCCACAUCCUGCUGGAGGGGACGGAGGGACCGUGUGUCACCGCGGGCCAUGGAGGUGACACCACCCCAGCGGGAUGUGCCACCACGGCCCAGGGAGGGGACCAGGAUGUGGUGGCCCAAGAGGGUGGGGUCCUCAUGGAGGGGACAACCCAACCGGAUGCCACCCACCACCUCGGGGACACGUUGGGACACGUCACCGUGGGCUACGUGGGGGACGUGACCAGGGAGGGACCCGUCACCGCGACCCAGGGAGGUGACAACGUGAUGGUGGCCCACGGUGGGGACGUCCUCCUGGAGGGGACAGAGGAACCCGGUGUCACCAACUGCUCCAGGGAUGUCACCGAAGCCCCCGGAGAUGCCACCACCACGGCGGGACCUGUCACCACGGCCCAGGGAUGUGACAAGGUCCUGGUGGCCACCCGUGGGGACGUCCUGAUGGAGGGGACAGAGGGACCAAGUGCCACCAAUGCCCCUGGGGACAUCUCCAACCACGUGACUGAAGCCCCCGGAGAUGCCACCACCGUGGUGGCACCUGUCACUGUGUCCCACGUAGGGGAGAAGGUCUUGGUGGCCACCCAUGGGGA
This is a long non-coding RNA of Calidris pygmaea (Spoon-billed sandpiper), 1762 nucleotides long. NCBI's taxonomy places the organism in Eukaryota, Metazoa, Chordata, Aves, Charadriiformes, Scolopacidae. The record is from Ensembl.